UACGUAGGUGGCAAGCGUUAUCCGGAUUUAUUGGGCGUAAAGGGAACGCAGGCGGUCUUUUAAGUCUGAUGUGAAAGCCUUCGGCUUAACCGGAGUAGUGCAUUGGAAACUGGGAGACUUGAGUGCAGAAGAGGAGAGUGGAACUCCAUGUGUAGCGGUGAAAUGCGUAGAUUUAUGGAAGAACACCAGUGGCGAAAGCGGCUCUCUGGUCUGUAACUGACGCUGAGGUUCGAAAGCGUGGGUAGCAAACAGG
RNAcentral lists this ribosomal RNA (253 nucleotides) under uncultured bacterium. RNAcentral's name for it is "partial 16S ribosomal RNA". It matches the Rfam family "Bacterial small subunit ribosomal RNA", at positions 524 to 776 of the family's 1533-position model. The record is from RNAcentral.